Molecule: long non-coding RNA, 2986 nt
Organism: Felis catus (domestic cat)
Lineage: Eukaryota; Metazoa; Chordata; Mammalia; Carnivora; Felidae
Exons: 2
Source: RefSeq, a predicted model, not a curated record
UGGAAACUACAUGGCCCUCUCCUCCCCAACCUCCCAGCCUCUUGUAAUUGAUGGCGUGUCAUAUCCAUCAGAUCCGCUGGAGGUGAAGAAGGUUGGGAUUCCCUCACGGGCUGGAUGGGGAGGGGUUGGGGUAGGUACCAAACAGCAGGUACAAUCCCAGUCUUGAGGGCUUCUUAUGGUGCAAGGGAUGAGGCCAGAGCAACUCGCGAGGAACCAUUUGAAGUAUAUACUACCACACGCAAACAGAGCAGGUUUAACCCGGUAGCAUCUGGGAAUCCCAUCAGUAGAGGGAGGGAGCAGGAAGUGUCAUCCAGCAGCUGAAGGCUUUGUCAGUUCGCAGCAUUAGAGGAUAUCCUUCGCCGUGAACUGGCCCCACUUCCUCUCCUGCGAAGCCUUCCAAGUUGGGAGGUUCUCUGGGGGCGUGGAGGCGAUCAGAGAGAGCUGUCACCUAGCUGCGCUGGGUUCUGUUUGCUCAAAGCGGAGAAUCGGAGACCCAGCCCCACCUACCUAAGGCACCGUGCCUGAGUUUUAUCACGAUCUGUUUCUUUACUCAUUCAGCACGUAUUCACGGAGCACCUACUAUGCUCCAGGCCCGGCAUUCGGCUUGGAGGACACGGGGAGAGCAGCUCUCACAUGAUCCCUGUCCUAACUUACUAUGCACGAAGUGGACAGCAAUCGACACAAGAACCACAGAGGAAGAGCACAGACUGUUAGAAGAGCCUUUGUUGUUGCUGUUCUACCUGCAUUCCAACCCUAUUGGGGCCCGGAAGGUUAACAGCACUGCAGCAGGUGCAAGUAAGGGGUGGGUGUAGUGAUCUCUCCUUAUCUGCAUCCUCUCUCCCUCAACUCCAUUGCCGGACCCUUGGGGACCGACUAGCUUCCCAUCCACGUUUGGUUGUAUGCCUCACUGUCUGAACUCCCACCCUUCGCUCUGAAACUCAGGAACACGUGGAUUUGACAACCUAGUAUCUCUCAACAUCCAGACUUGCCACCUGAACUCCUGAUAGGUGAACGCAGUAGUCAAAUAGGUUUGGGUGGGGAGGGCGGGUGGAGGCACGAGUGAAGGGCUAUGCCGUCUCACGUAGGAAAAUGGAGGCCUCGGGCUUUACGACUCCUCGAUGACGCACCAGACGAGGGCAGGCACGUCUGCAGACAGGAAUAGAAAACAAAAAUCAUUCAUGGCAUGCAGCUCAAAUUCAGGAUGGCGUGUCUGUUGCUUAGCCCAUUUCUCACGCCCUGGAGACAGACUGGACCUUACCCUGCUCUCCUGUGUCUGACUUUGCCGGCAAAGUUUAACUCUGCAGAACUUCGUCCUUUCGAAGAGGCCACUUUGGGUGAUAGCAGAAAAAGGCUCCAAGCUUUCUGAGGUCUCCUCCAGGUAGGUAUCUCCGGAUGACCCAAACAUGAUCCCGUUGAGUCCUUCCUCUUUCCUCAAAGUUACCCUUUAACCCUGAAAUGUUCUGUGCCUGCCCAGAUGCCGGAGACACCGGGAGCCAGACUCUGUUCUGCCUGACGACCUCAAGAACAGCGUGAACCGCAAGCUCCUCCCAAGCCUGGGCCUGUCGGCGUGGGCCAGAGACAACGCGAAACCCAGCACUGUGCACAGGAUACGGACAAAAAACAAAACAAAGCAAAACAACCCCUCCCCCAAAGGAGCCCUCUAUUUCUGGUCUGAGGAAUGGGUAAGAGAGCCCUACAGGUCCUGGUCCAAGACAGAGUAAGAAAACCUCUGUUUAUAUUUGUCUUUCCCAUUCUUUCCUGCCCUAGCCCCCAGCUGUGACGGUAGUGGUGAAAGGCAGUGGCAGCCAGACAGGUAACUAGAACUCGGAGAGAGGAGAACCCUUCUCUCUGACCACAGGAAUCCUAAGAGCAUGGGGGAAAUCCCUGAUGCUUUUUCUCCCUUUCUCUCUGUCUGUCUCUGUCCCUCUAAUUCUCAUUGUGUGUGUGUGUGUGUGUGUGUGUGUGUGUGUGUGUGUGUGUGUUUUGGCAAAGCAGAGUAGGGAAACUAAAAUCCUGGCUUUGCAGCCAGAGGACCAAGGUGAGAGGGGAAGGGGGCAGGAUCUGCUAGAAAUUGGAGAGUGUUGGGGAGUUCACAGAGAGGGAAGAGCUCAAAGUGAUUCCCUAAAAUGGUGUAUGAAUGCCUGAGCUCACCCAAAAAUGGACCCUACACAGCAUCCCAAAGGGUUGAGAACUGAGCUCCAGGAUCCCAGAUUGGUCCCAAGUCCCAGACUAGCACACACACACCGAGCAGAUUGGAAUAGCACUGCAAAGCCUUAAAAAUGGAACUGACACUGGUCAGUACCUAGAGCCCAGAGAUGAUAGAGAGCAACUCGCAGCCUGAACCUAACCAGGCAUUUGCCUGAACAAACAAACAAAUCAACAUUUUUAUAGGAUUUAAACAAGACCCAUAAUUUCAUAACAAUAUUAACAAUGUCCAGAUACAGUGCCAAAUUACAUGAUAUUUGGAGACCCAGGAAAAUCUCCACCUCUCUCAAGGAAAAAGACAAAAGGACCAUCAAGGGGCAACUCUGAGAUGACCCAAGGGUUCAACUCGAGACCUUAAAGCAACUAUCCUAAUCAUGCUCCAAGAAAUAUGGGCAAAUCUUGAAACGAAUAGAAAGAUAGUCUCAUCAUAGAAACAGACGAUACAAAAAGAAUGGAAUUGAAGUUUGGGGAAUAAAAACUCUGAUAACCAAAAUGAAACCAUUCAUGGAAUGGACUCCAUUUUUUUUCCUCUUAAGUUCUUUAAAAUAUGUGCGAUAGUUGAAAGCAAAAGUCAUAGGAUUGUCUGGUGGGGUUUGAAUUUAUGUGUAUAGAACACACAUGACGAUGUGAUGGAAAAACAAGAGGGUAAAGGCGCCUACACGGUCGUAAGGUUUCUGCAUCCCACUGGAAGGGACAAAAUAUUAAUUCUGAGUAGACCGGAAAGUUAACUGUGAGUGUCGUAACUCCUAGAGCAGACUUCUAAACAAAGGGUACAAAGAGG